RNAcentral lists this non-coding RNA (27 nucleotides) under Homo sapiens (human). Lineage: Eukaryota; Metazoa; Chordata; Mammalia; Primates; Hominidae. The record is from RNAcentral.
UGUUGUCGGUGCUAAUUCCUUUGUAAU